Molecule: ribosomal RNA, 204 nt
Filed under: uncultured bacterium
Lineage: Bacteria
Description: partial 16S ribosomal RNA
Rfam family: Bacterial small subunit ribosomal RNA
Source: RNAcentral
UACGUAGGAGGCAAGCGUUGUCCGGAAUUACUGGGCGUAAAGCGCGUGUAGGUGGUGGGACAAGUCUGCUGUGAAAGUGCCUGGCUUAACCGGGCGAGGUCGGCGGGAAACUGUCCGACUCGAGGACGGGUAGAGGGGGUGGAAUUCCCGGUGUAGUGGUGAAAUGCGUAGAGAUCGGGAGGAACGACCUGUGGCGAAGGGCGG